RNAcentral lists this ribosomal RNA (484 nucleotides) under uncultured bacterium. RNAcentral describes it as "partial 16S ribosomal RNA". It matches the Rfam family "Bacterial small subunit ribosomal RNA", at positions 30 to 507 of the family's 1533-position model. The record is from RNAcentral.
AUUGAACGCUGGCGGCAUGCUUUACACAUGCAAGUCGAACGGCAGCACGGGCUUCGGCCUGGUGGCGAGUGGCGAACGGGUGAGUAAUAUAUCGGAACGUACCCAGAAGUGGGGGAUAACGUAGCGAAAGUUACGCUAAUACCGCAUACGAUCUAUGGAUGAAAGCAGGGGACCGCAAGGCCUUGUGCUCCUGGAGCGGCCGAUAUCUGAUUAGCUAGUUGGUGAGGUAAAGGCUCACCAAGGCGACGAUCAGUAGCUGGUCUGAGAGGACGACCAGCCACAAUGGAACUGAGGACCGGUCCAGGCUCCUAAGGGAGGGAACAGUGGGGAAUUUUGGACAAUGGGCGCAAGCCUGAUCCAGCAAUGCCGCGUGAGUGAAGAAGGCCUUCGGGUUGUAAAGCUCUUUUGUCAGGGAAGAAACGGUAGAGGCUAAUAUCCUUUGCCAAUGACGGUACCUGAAGAAUAAGCACCGGCUAACUACGUG